RNAcentral lists this ribosomal RNA (512 nucleotides) under uncultured bacterium. Its description in RNAcentral is "partial 16S ribosomal RNA". It matches the Rfam family "Bacterial small subunit ribosomal RNA", at positions 28 to 507 of the family's 1533-position model. The record is from RNAcentral.
GAUGAACGCUGGCGGCGUGCCUAAUACAUGCAAGUCGAACGAAACUUCUUUAUCACCGAGUGCUUGCACUCACCGAUAAAGAGUUGUGUGGCGAACGGGUGAGUAACACGUGGGCAACCUGCCCAAAAGAGGGGGAUAACACUUGGAGACAGGUGCUAAUACCGCAUAACCAUAGUUACCGCAUGGUAACUAUGUAAAAGGUGGCUAUACUACCGCUUUUGGAUGGGCCCGCGGCGCAUUAGCUAGUUGGUAGGGUAAAGGCUUACCAAGGCAAUGAUGCGUAGCCGAAUUGAGAGGUUGAUCGGCCACAUUGGGACUGAGACACGGCCCAAACUCCUACGGGAGGCAGCAGUAGGGAAUCUUCCACAAUGGGCGAAAGCCUGAUGGAGCAACGCCGCGUGGGUGAAGAAGGUCUUCGGAUCGUAAAACCCUGUUGUUAGAGAAGAAAGUGCGUGAGAGUAACUGUUCACGUUUCGACGGUAUCUAACCAGAAAGCCACGGCUAACUACGUG